Non-coding RNA from Carica papaya (papaya), 432 nucleotides. The record is from RefSeq and is a predicted model, not a curated record. Lineage: Eukaryota; Viridiplantae; Streptophyta; Magnoliopsida; Brassicales; Caricaceae.
UCUAGAUAUUUAUUUAUUUAUUUUUUGUGUUCAUACAAUUUGAAUCAGACAUUGAUUACUUCAACUACAUCAAUGCAGAAAGUAGGUAGCUGCAAGAAAUUACUUUCAACUAAAUCAAUGCAGAAAGUAGAUAAAGGAUGAUAGCUGAUGGGAAUGAGGACAAGAUCAUAUUUCCUUCUCACAGUCACGGCAAAGGCCUCAGUCAUGUCUAAAUCUUCAUAAUUCAUUCCUCCAGGGAGCUUCCAAUCGAAAUAAUACAACAGUUGUGCCAACGGCGAUAUAAUAUUAGGUAUUUCAUACCCCUUGAUCACGCAGUCCUCAGAAGAUUCUCUUGGAACUAACAGAGGUGCAGAAGGGUGUAGCCUGAGUGUUUCUUUCACUACUGAUUCAAUAAACUUUAGCUCAUGAAGUUCUGUUUCGUCCACGUAUCCU